GUGCAUUGCUGGCUUUAAGCCGUCUAUUUGUUGGUUUUCCUUUAUAGGGGACUUUUGUGUCUGCUCAGAAAAACCAAACUCAGUUUUUUCUCAAUUCCUUCGAUUGCACUGAUCGACACAAGUCUCCUUCUCAAUUUUUCUUCUUCCUUCUUCUCUAGACUACCCACCAAGGAAGAAAACAUAACCCAGAAGUUAAAGAGUUCAAAGCACGAGAAAAUUCAACGACCCAAGUGAACUUAGCCCUUCUUUUUCAUCAAUAUACACUUUCGAUUGGAUGGAUCUGUAGAUCUAAUCCUUCUAUACUAUACCUACAUGUAUUUAUCUGUUUCCUUUAGAUCUCCGUCCUUUUCAUCUGCUGUAAUUCAG
RNAcentral lists this unclassified non-coding RNA (366 nucleotides) under Hevea brasiliensis (rubber tree). Lineage: Eukaryota; Viridiplantae; Streptophyta; Magnoliopsida; Malpighiales; Euphorbiaceae. The record is from RNAcentral.